This 409-nucleotide ribosomal RNA is filed under the name Acidobacteriota bacterium. RNAcentral describes it as "Acidobacteria bacterium partial 16S ribosomal RNA". It matches the Rfam family "Bacterial small subunit ribosomal RNA", at positions 355 to 776 of the family's 1533-position model. Lineage: Bacteria; Pseudomonadati; Acidobacteriota. The record is from RNAcentral.
UGGGGAAUAUUGCACAAUGGGCUAAAGCCUGAUGCAGCGACGCCGCGUGAGGGAUGACGGCCUUCGGGUUGUAAACCUCUUUCAGCAGGGACGAAGCGCAAGUGACGGUACCUGCAGAAGAAGCACCGGCUAACUACGUGCCAGCAGCCGCGGUAAUACGUAGGGUGCAAGCGUUGUCCGGAAUUACUGGGCGUAAAGAGUUCGUAGGCGGUUUGUCGCGUCGUUUGUGAAAACCAGCAGCUCAACUGCUGGCUUGCAGGCGAUACGGGCAGACUUGAGUACUGCAGGGGAGACUGGAAUUCCUGGUGUAGCGGUGAAAUGCGAAGAUAUCAGGAGGAAAACCGGUGGCGAAGGCGGGUCUCUGGGCAGUAACUGACGCUGAGGAACGAAAGCGUGGGUAGCGAACAGG